RNAcentral lists this ribosomal RNA (252 nucleotides) under uncultured bacterium. RNAcentral's name for it is "partial 16S ribosomal RNA". It matches the Rfam family "Bacterial small subunit ribosomal RNA", at positions 524 to 776 of the family's 1533-position model. The record is from RNAcentral.
UACGUAGGUCCCGAGCGUUGUCCGGAUUUAUUGGGCGUAAAGCGAGCGCAGGUGGUUUAUUAAGUCUGGUGUAAAAGGCAGUGGCUCAACCAUUGUAUGCAUUGGAAACUGGUAGACUUGAGUGCAAGAGAGGAGAGUGGAAUUCCAUGUGUAGCGGUGAAAUGCGUAGAUAUAUGGAGGAACACCGGUGGCGAAAACGGCUCUCUGGCCUGUAACUGACACUGAGGCUCGAAAGCGUGGGGAGCAAACAGG